RNAcentral lists this ribosomal RNA (477 nucleotides) under uncultured bacterium. Its description in RNAcentral is "partial 16S ribosomal RNA". It matches the Rfam family "Bacterial small subunit ribosomal RNA", at positions 28 to 507 of the family's 1533-position model. The record is from RNAcentral.
GAUGAACGCUGGCGGCGUGCCUAAUACAUGCGAGUCGAACGAAGAGACGAGGAGCUUGCGGCGCUGAAGUUAGCAACGGGCGGGUAACUAACACGUAAAUAACCUACCUAUAUGGCUGAGAUCACGUCGAGAGAGCGGAGCAAAUACCAGAUAAGAUGAUGAAACGGAGGGUGCAGGAGUGAAAUACGGUCUUUGGGUCGCUUAUAGAUGGAUCCGCGGGGCAUUAGGGAGUUGGUAAGGUAACGGCACGCCAAGGCACCGAUGGGUAGCCGGCCUGAGAGGGUGACCGGCCACACUGGGACUGAGAGACGGCCCAGACUCCUACGGGAGGCAGCAGUGGGGAAUAUUGCACAAUGGGCGAAAGCCUGAUGCAGCGACGCCGCGUGAGGGAUGACGGCCUUCGGGUUGUAAACCUCUUUCAGUAGGGAAGAAGCGAAAGUGACGGUACCUGCAGAAGAAGCACCGGCUAACUACGUG